This 183-nucleotide non-coding RNA is filed under the name Leptospiraceae bacterium. RNAcentral describes it as "6S RNA". It matches the Rfam family "6S / SsrS RNA". Rfam says of the family: E. coli 6S RNA was the first non coding RNA to be sequenced, but its function was unknown until recently. The record is from RNAcentral. RNAcentral also lists the same sequence under 1 other name. Lineage: Bacteria; Pseudomonadati; Spirochaetota; Leptospiria; Leptospirales; Leptospiraceae.
CUGAGACUGCGGUGUUCGAGUACCAACUAUUUUUGGGCCAACACUAUUCUAUCGGGAAUCCGGAGUUCACCCGGUAAUGUCAGGCCCCGCUUGUUUCGGGGAAGACAGAGCCGACAUGACAGGAUACCCACCUGUUUCGACAGGACCCAAAAAUUUUUCGACUACGGCACAGGCGGUCUCUUU